RNAcentral lists this long non-coding RNA (7711 nucleotides) under Populus tremula. Its description in RNAcentral is "long non-coding RNA (PTRE_LNC002503)". Lineage: Eukaryota; Viridiplantae; Streptophyta; Magnoliopsida; Malpighiales; Salicaceae. The record is from RNAcentral.
CAACUCCUACCGUGAAAGAGUGAAGCAAAAGAAGAAUCAUUUGCAUCUCAAAGUCCAGAUCAAAGGUAUCUCUCUAAAACGAAUUAUAGGAAUUAGGAAAAAGAAGAAUCACUUAUGGUUGACCGUACGUAAUUAUAAAGAUCCUAGAAUUAGACUAGAAAAAUAAAAGGAAAAAGAGUACUGUACGUACAACAAAGCAAGCAGAGAAGAAAGAAAUUUGUGUUGAGAAAAAGAACGAUCGAGAGUGACUCGGCAACCUCCACUAGACACUCAAUUGUUAUCUCUCUGUCAAAAAAACAAAAUUUGAUUCCACGUUUCAUUGACUGCCUAAAAGAAAUCAAAAUCAUAUAACUUGCGCGCACAAGAUUUGUAACUUUCCUCUCUGUCUCGACCGUUUCUUGAUUUUUCUAAAAAAAAACCACUUCAGCAAAAUGUACACAUUCAAUUUCGAAGUCUUGAUUUCAUAUCGAUCUCACGUGUAUGCACAUAUAAUCUAAGAAACAGAGAUAGCUCGUUAUCAAUUGCAUAAGAAGUAACACAUCAAAUUAAACUACAAACAUUUAAGACUAAAAAAACAAAAAAACAAAAAAAGGAAAGAAAGAAGAGGAAAUAAUUACUUAAAGGCGGUAUAACAUGUGACCAUCUUCUUCUAUAUAUAUAUAUAUAUAUAUAUAUGGCAACUCCUUACCAGCUGAUACUUAUAUAUAUAUAUAUAAUCUCCCUCAUCUUCAGAUGCUUACAUGGCAACGCGUUGCCAGCUGAUACUUAACGACGUUGUCACCAACCAUAAUUCCACUAGUUCUGCUACCAAACUGAAUAUAAGCAGGACACCUAACAUGCAAAUUGUAUUUCGCAGAGAUAAAGGUUCCGACUUUGAAUCGAACUCGACCAUCAAUCUUGAUCAUCAGCAUCACAACUCCAGCACCUUGGUCUUGACUUAAUGCAGCUGAAUUGUACGGAGAUACCGGCACGGAGUUGCCGUAAAUAAAAGGGGACCAAACAUUAGUCUCUUUGUGUCCUUGGUAAGAAGUAGGUAUGGAAGUUCGUAGAGUUAUUUGUUGGUCACGGUAUGUGCCAUAAAUAUCGAGUCUAUCAUAGUAGAUUCCGACUCUAUCAUCCGGGUUGCGAGAGGAUACGGUGACUUGGAAGUUGGAAGUGAGGAAAUUUGGAUAUGAAACGUUAAAGGCGUAAACCGUAGCAUCUUGGAGGAUGAAUUUUGGUUUUGAAGGACGGAGGAUGGCCCAAACUAUGAGGAUUACGAUGAGGGCAAUGAGGAGGAAGGUUAGGAUUACGGCGAAUAACAGGCGGACGAAUCUUCGGCGUUUGUGGCCGUGGUUGCCGCAGUCUUUCUUGGGUGUCAUGUUGGAGGAGUUGGUGGUGGAGAAGUGGAGAAAAGAGUAGCUUUGUGAGGAAGAUUCUCCGAGGGAAGUGUGGAGUUAUUAAGAGUUCGAGGGAGUGAGUGAGAGAGAGGAUUUUGGGGUUCUUUGCUUAAUGCGGGGGUUGUAUUGACGGUGCCGUGAGAUAAACGCGUUGUGUUAUGGGUGUGUAUUAAGGUCUUGUAAUAAGAUGUGAAAUGGUGAUUAGUGCUUUUAUUUUCUUCAGUUUGUGUGGUAGUGGUAGGACUUGGGAAGGUUCUAGCUUAAAGUUUAAUGUGAUUAUUGGGAUUUAAUUGUUAAAUUGAAAUAUAAGCAAAGAGAAUACUUGUAUUAGCUCCGUAUUUGUAAUUAACGUUGUGGCCAAUUUAUUUGAGGCUUUUUUAGCACAUAAUGAUGAGUAAUUUAAUAACUUUUACUUUUGAAAAUUCUAUGUAUACAUGAGCCUAUGAGAAAAACUUAUGUAUAUGAUAAUGUUUUUUUUCUUUCCCUUUUUCUUUUGAGUGUAUGUCAUUGUAUUAGAAAAUUUCAUAUUUGCUAUAUUUUGGCUAACAAAAAAUUGUUAUUCUUAAACAUAUUACAAAUUAUAAAUUACCAAAAAAAAACUCUAAAAUUUGUUUUGUAUUAUUUUUUAUUAGGUUAUCACGAUCUUAACAAAACAUUUUAAUAUUGGAUUGGUUCUUGAUUUGAUAUAUAUAAAAAAUGUUGCUGGUUGUUGGUGAAUAAUUAAAAAUACAGAGAUCAAAACUAAAAAUAAGGUGAAAUGAUAGUUCUUUAUUUAAAGAAAAAAAUUCGGUCCUUUAUUUAUUUUAAUCAGCCAAUUAAAUAUUUUAUUUUCAAUUUUAUCAUUUUAUAUUGAAUUUGAUUGGUAAUUCAGAUUGAUGAUUUGUUAAUUUCAUGUUGUUUUCUAUCAAUUUAUCGUGGUUUCAAGAAAUAUAUUAUCAAUGGGUUGGUUCUUGAUUUUGCAAAAAAAAAAAAAUAACUUAAUUUUGUUGUUUGCAAAAAAUAAAAGAUAAGGGACCAAAAUUAAAAGUUUGGUAAAAUAGAAGGCCUUUCUUUUUUAAAAAAGUGUCAAUGACUUUUUUUUAAAUAUGCUUAUGUUUUUGUCCAUUUUUUUAUUCUUUAGUUAGGAAAUUAUAGUAUUUGGUCUAAGAUCCAAUUGGAUCCAUAAGUCGAAUUAUAAGUUUGAUAAUUUAACUUAAAUUGAUUAAAGUUUUUUUUAUAACAAUGUUUGAAAAAAAAGGGUUUCAUCUUGAGUUUUUUUUAAAGUCAAAUCAGGUUUUUACUCGUCAUCUAAUUUAUUUCAGAUCCUUUUCCACAUAGUUUAAUUAAAAAUACAAGCUAGACAAAGAGUUGGGUAAAGAAAUUUCAAUAUUGUUCUAUAUAAAUGGAUCUAGUGACAUCGCUAAAGAACUCCCUGUUGCAAUACAUGAGCGUUGUAUUUUUUUUAUGGCUUUUAUGUAGAUUUUAUUUUAAUUAAAGUUUGUUUUUAAAAUAAUUAAAAAUAUAGUUUUAAAAACAAAUAUUUCAGUGAAUAAAUAAUUCAAACCUGCUAUGUGAGGAAAAUAUUUGCCUUUUUCUAUCAUAUUUAAUAUUAGCAUCAAAUUUUAAUUUUAUAAUUAAUAGUUUUCUUGUCAUUAGAAACACAAUAAUAACAUUUAUAUAUUUUUUUUUCUUUGAUUUUUUUAAAAAACUUCAAUUUUAACUCAUAUUGGAACACAGGUUAGGCAUGUAGUAACAUGGUAUUGUUUGUUUUGGUGUUUAAAAUUAUAUUUGAAAGUAUUUUAAAAAUAUAUUCAACUUGAAAACAUAUUAAUUGAUGUGUUUAUAGUAUUUUAAAAUGAUUUUAAUAUAUUAAUAUUAAAAAUAAAAAAUAAAUCUGAAAAGAAUAUUUUCAAAUAAAAUUUAUUUUUUAAAAAAUAUCAUAUACAGUAGUACCAAACAAAGAGUGAAAUAAUUGCCCUGGCCAGGACUAAAAAUUAAUUGUAUUAAAUAAGUAGGCAGGGCUGGGUAAUUACGUACUGUCUUCCUUGAGACAGGCAUCAAUCCCUGUCAAGCGGAUGCCGAAGAAAAGUCAUAGUACACACCAGCGCUCCCCUUUCAUUAAAUAUCUUUUCUACUUUUCAAGCUUAUAUUUAAGGGCUAGAGUAAUUAAUUCUUACUAAUUAGCCAUGUAUAUAUAUUUAUUUACGCAAUUAAAUGUGUCCUCGGAGGUCAUAUUCAUGGGAACAAUUAAGCAGAUUGGUGCCUUUUCAUUUAUGUUUGAAUAUAAAUAACGUUUAUAUAUAUAUAUAUAUCCUAAGAUCAUUUUAUGGCCAGCGUUUUCCUAAAGUUGGGGCCAAUAAUGCAAGGACCUCAAGCCCUUUGGCUGUGCUUUCACAAAGGGAAGCUGCUCUUUGUGCUAAUCGAACUUUAGAAAGACAAAAAGGCAGCAAAAGAACCCGUCAAGCAAGUAAAACUUGAACAGAUGGACUUCCAUUAAUUCGAGAGUUCUUAGAAUAAUGAUUUCAUGUAUUAUUUGUGACACAUGUACCCUUGUAUAAUACUUGGCUACUUGUUUUAAGGUCUCAAUUUGAUCAUGUGCAUGCUUUUAUCAACGUUUGGACUAUAGAUUAAGCAAGUUUCUCAUGAUUAAUCAAGGUUAGAUAUAUAGAAAUGAUAACAUUUGGACUCUAAAUUAUGCUUGAGAUUUCAUACAAACUAAUGAAAAUACCAACAUGUUAAAAGCUCAAAUACCAUCUAAUUUAUUAAAAAUAAUAAAUUUAACAUAGAUGGAUUAUCAUAUUGUGUUGAAAUUCUGAUAUAGAAUAUUUUGGUAAAGAAAAAAACAUAUCCUUCUUAUGAUAAUAUGGACAUAAAUUUUAAUCUAUCUAUUUAAUUCUAGACGUCAUGUUCCUUAUAAUGUCUGGUUUUUGUAACUAUCCGCUAUCAAUAAAGCUUCUAAAUUAAAACUAUAUAUUAUUGUUUUAGGUUGUUGUGUGGUUUUUUAAGGAUAUUUAUGAAUUUAACAAGGUAUUUAGAUAUUUUUUUCAGGUGUUAUAAGUAAAGAAUAAGUUAAUAAAAAGAUUUUUAGAAAAAAAAUAUAAAAUUGUUUUUUAUUUAUAAUAAUAACUAAAAUUAAGAGAAAACUAAAAGAUGCAUCAAUCAAUAUUUUUUUAAAAAAUAUUAUUGUACAUCCCAAUUGCAUUUAAAAGAAAAAUAGGGCCAUCUUUCUAAUUGCAUUAGGCCUCUUUCUUUUAUCUUUUUAUAAUUUGUUUUAUUUUAAUUUAAAAUAAUCUUAUAAUUUAUAUUUAAAGUAAUUCAUUUUCUCUUUGGGUUUUUUAUUUUUUGUAUUUAUUUAUUUUUAAAUAAUGACUGAUUUUUAAUUAUUUUAUAGAUAUUUGAAGAAAUUAUUCUAAUUUAUCUAUAUUUUUUUAUAAAAUUAAAAUUUAUUUUUAAAUAAUGCUUCAUAAUCAGAACUUCUUCCACGCAUUCAUCCAGUUUCCUGCACCCUACUUCUGGGCAAUUACCUACCUUCGGAAAUAUAUCUGUGUUAUCGGAUAGAUUAUUAUUUUUUUCAUAAAAAGUCAUCUCUACAAGUGUGCUUAUAUUUGUGAUUGAUGUGAUUUGUCUUUAAUUUAUUUUUUUUAAAAGGGAAAAGAAAGAAGGUCGAAGAUUCCUUUUCACUACUCGUUAAGGUUUCUGUUUUUAAACCGGAGAAAGAAACCUGAUAUCCUUUUCUCUCUCUCUUUUUUUUUUGGUAAAAAAGUAUCGAGCUUGUGUUAUGUAAAAUUUAAUUCGUCCACCAAAAAAGAAAAAGAAAGAAAUGUACAAUUACUAGCUUGCUGACGGGCCAUGCAGUUCCUCUGUUUUGUCAAUUUCUUCGAAUUAUCAGCACUGCUAACAAGCAUGAUCAUCCCUUGUGUAAAUCUCACGGCUCGUAUCAUUUCUCAUAUUGCUAUCAUUAAUUAUUAGAUACAAACAACUUUUUGACGUUGGAAAGAACAAGAAACCGAUCGAUUUAGAGUGCCGUCACCGUAAUAAUGUAAGGGCAAGAUAGAGGAAGACCCUUUACUAGCAUCCGUUCGGUAGAGACUUAACUUCUCUUUCUCGAACCCUUCCCUGUGCCCAUGGUAGGCCACUCCAUUGAAGAAUAUCGUUUCUUGAUCUCCUCCCAUCCAUUCGUUACUUUGCCGUAUUUCUCUUCGGCCGAUUUGGCUGGUUAAGAUUCAUGGCUAUUCUACUAUUCUGAAGGCCCUGAUAUGAUUCUACCUGAUCGAAUUUUGCUAUUUUUUCAAUGGCCUCGCAUGAUAAAUUUUACUAUACGCCAGAUAAUAUACCUAAUUAUCUAUAUUUUGUUUUUUUAUUAUUAAAAAGGAAAGCAUAAGAGUUGCUUGGUAACAUGUAAAGGGUAAGUGAUUUGGGUGGUUUUCUCCUCUGCCACGACCAACGAAGUUGAUGUAAAACAAUGCCCAAAACAAACAGUGUACCCAUCUGCACUUCACACAUAUCAGGUACAUGUAGAGUACGAGCUCGGAGUCACAAGUAAACCCACUUUCUCAAAUUAAUGCAACAGUUUCGUCACAACACGGCGUGGUGGCUCCUCCUACCAUAGCAACUCCUACCGUGAAAGAGUGAAGCAAAAGAAGAAUCAUUUGCAUCUCAAAGUCCAGAUCAAAGGUAUCUCUCUAAAACGAAUUAUAGGAAUUAGGAAAAAGAUGAUAGAAGAAUCACUUAUGGUUGACCGUACGUAAUUAUAAAGAUCCUAGAAUUAGACUAGAAAAAAGAGAGGAAAAAAGAGUAUACGGACAACAAAGCAAGCAGAGCAAGAAUGAAAUUUGUGUUGAGAAAAAGAACGAUCGAGAGUGACUCGGCAACCUCCACUAGACACUCAAUUGUUAUCUCUCUGUCAAAAAAACAAAUUUUGAUUCCACGUUUCAUUGACUGCCUAAAAGAAAUCAAAAUCAUAUAACUUGCGCGCACAAGAUUUGUAACUUUCCUCUCUGUCUCGACCGUUUCAUGAUUUUUUCAAAAAAAAAACCACUUCAGCAAAAUGUACACUUUCAAUUUCGAAGUCUUGAUUUCAUAUCGAUCUCACGUGUAUGCACAUAUAAUCUAAGAAACAGAGAUAGCUCGUUAUCAAUUGCAUAAGAAGUAACACAUCAAAUUAAACUACAAACAUUGAAGACUAAAAAAACAAAAAAAAAGAAAAGAAAGAAAGAAGAAGAAAUAAUUACUUAAAGGCGGUAUAACAUGUGACCAUCUUCUUCUAUAUAUAUAUAUAUAUAUAUGGCAACUCCUUACCAGCUGAUACCUUAUAUAUAUAUAUAUAUAAUCUCCCUCAUCUUCAGAUGCUUACAUGACAACGCGUUGCCAGCUGAUACUUAACGACGUUGUCACCAACCAUAAUUCCACUAGUUCUGCUACCAAACUGAAUAUAAGCAGGACACCUAACAUGCAAAUUGUAUUUCGCAGAGAUAAAGGUUCCGACUUUGAAUCGAACUCGACCAUCAAUCUUGAUCAUCAGCAUCACAACUCCAGCACCUUGGUCUUGACUUAAUGCAGCUGAAUUGUACGGAGAUACCGGCACGGAGUUGCCGUAAAUAAAAGGAGACCAAACAUUAGUCUCUUCGUGUCCUUGGUAAGAAGUAGGUAUGGAAGUUCGUAGAGUUAUUUGUUGGUCACGGUAUGUGCCAUAAAUAUCGAGUCUAUCAUAGUAGAUUCCGACUCUAUCAUCCGGGUUGCGAGAGGAUACGGUGACUUGGAAGUUGGAAGUGAUGAAAUUUGGAUAUGAAACGUUAAAGGCGUAAACCGUAGCAUCUUGGAGGAUGAAUUUUGGUUUUGAAGGACGGAGGAUGGCCCAAACUAUGAGGAUUACGAUGAGGGCAAUGAGGAGGAAGGUUAGGAUUACGGCGAAUAACAGGCGGACGAGUCUUGGGCGUGUGUGGCCGUGGUUGCCGCUGUCUUUCUUGGAUGUCAUGUUGGAGGAGUUGGCGGUGGAGAAGUGGAGAGAAAGAGAGUAGCUUUGUGAGGAAGAUUCUCCGAGGGAAGUGUGGAGUUAUUAAGAGUUCGAGGGAGUGAGUGAGAGAGAGGAUUUUGGGGUUCUUUGCUUAAUGCGGGGGUUGUAUUGACGGUGCCGUGAGAUAAACGCGUUGUGUUAUGGGUGUGUAUUAAGGUCUUGUAAUAAGAUGUGAAAUGGUGAUUAGUGCUUUUAUUUUCUUCAGUUUGUGCGGUAGUGGUAGGACUUGGGAGGGUUCUAGCUUAAAGUUUUAUGUGAUUAAUGGGAUUUAAUUGUUAAAUUGGAGGAUACUUGUAUUAGGUCCCUUUUUGUAAUUAACGUUGUGACCAAUUUAUUUGAG